CGUGACGGACCGAUUCCUCAGUCGCGCCCGAGGUCCUUGGCUGGUCGCCAGUCGGCGGUCAAUCAACGCCAAGCAACCGCAUCAUAGAGAAAUGGGAUCCUUUUAUGAAAACAACGAUGCGUCGACGGCCAGUGCUGCGCCGACAGUCAACGCCACCGACGAUUCGGCACGGGGAUCAAGGUUCAAGAGGCGCGCGAGGGCCGGCAACACAUCGGGGCGAUUAUCAAUACCCGCGAGUGCGUGUGUGGCAACGAGAGAGCGUAGGUGCAUCGGCAGGCUCAUCAAUUGGUCGAGAUCGUCGUCGUCGGCGGCAAGUUUGUUGGCGAGCAGACGCGCGGUGCGAUUCUGCAGCGUCGAUUCUGCGAUUCGAUCGUGUGUACGCGUGCGGGCUGGCACGACGACUGCAAGGAGGGCGAUCGUAUCCUGGGCGUUGAAAAACGCAACAUGAACGGGCGGUCCGUCCGAGGGCACAUGGCGUUGUAGAAUGCUUAUAUUAAACUCAUCGGGCAGGUCGCGACCGAGGACGGGCGCCAUGCUGAGGGUCGCCGCCGCCGUUUGUGCCACGGUCUUGCACGCCAGACGCACGAGCGACUCGGCGGGCUCGUUCAGUUCCCAGCGGCGGUACGUCUUGUCGCCAGAGGACAGGGCAGCGGCCAAGUGCGAGAGAUGUUCAUACUGGCAAUGAGAGUCGAGCGGGUCCUGCCGAAACACAUGGCCGUUGGUGGCCACCUCGGCGCUGGCGACAAGAAAGGCCCGUCCGCUUUGCUGCCCUCUCGGCAAAGGACGACAGACGAGCGCGCCGUAAAAGCGGCUCCUGUUUUCGGGAAGCACCACAAGGGCGCACAACGGAUACGAUGGCGCUGCGGCGCCGUCGGCAUGGACAAACAAAGAGGGUACGGCCGACGGCCACGAUGGUCGACGCCGAUAAUGAUGGCGUUGCUCGUCGAUCAUUGCCCACAGGCGCGAGUCAAACAUGGCAAGUUUUAUCUUGCACUCUAUGUGCGGUCUCCUAUUCCCCCUCUUUUCGAUCGAAUAAAGAAUCGCAAAAGUCAGCGCUGCCUGACG
This 1065-nucleotide long non-coding RNA is filed under the name Pandoravirus neocaledonia. RNAcentral's name for it is "hypothetical ncRNA". The record is from RNAcentral.